GCAUUGUGCUCCUUUGCAACCCAGGCCAUUCUAUCAUUCUAUGAUUCCAGGCCUGCUGAUGAGGUCCUAGGCGUGCAUUGGGAAGUUCUGCACCUCCUCACUGCCAUCUCCAGCUGAGAAAUCCCUAAAGAAGUGCUUUGCACUUCAUCUUUACUCCUACCCUCCAUCUCCCAACCAGCAACCCACUGGAGCUCCCUCUUUGUGCAGCUGAAGGUCUGAGGGCUGCAGUUUCCUGAUUUCAGCCAAGCACUGGGCUGAUCCCUGAGCUUUUAGGACUUCUGUUUGAUCAGAUCUGCACAAGAUGUUACAGCUGAGUGACACCACGACAGGUUUGGGAUUUUCCAAGCAAGCCUGACUGCCUCAACAUGUCAGAAACAAACAGAAGCGGAGCUGCCACAAAUCUGUCUCAUUGCAAACAAGGGAGCACACCUCAACCGUAAAA
This is a non-coding RNA of Phasianus colchicus (ring-necked pheasant), 442 nucleotides long. The record is from RefSeq and is a predicted model, not a curated record. Lineage: Eukaryota; Metazoa; Chordata; Aves; Galliformes; Phasianidae.